Felis catus (domestic cat) is the source of this 4110-nucleotide RNA transcript. RefSeq lists it as uncharacterized. The transcript has 3 exons. The record is from RefSeq and is a predicted model, not a curated record. Lineage: Eukaryota; Metazoa; Chordata; Mammalia; Carnivora; Felidae.
GGCCCAGGCAGCCGGAGCCUGAAAGUACGAGGAAAUCACAUCACAUAAAUGAACGAAGAGAGUUUGAUGGGAAGCAGGGCACUGGCAGUUUCCAGGCUACGAGGGGAGAAGGAGCCUGGAUGGUUCCUUGCUGACAGAGCACGGGGGAAUCACUCCCUCCCCCAUGGCACAUGCCAGGCCCACUCCUGCACGCACAUGCGCGCGUGCGCGCACACACACACACACACACACACACACACACACACCGCCUCCUGUAGCGUGGUGACGUCAGGCCGACUCAAAUCCGGGGACCCACUGGGCAGAGCCUGAGCUCUCCAGAAAUAAAUGAGAUGCAGCAGCAUCAACCUCUUGGCCCAGAGCCCACUCCAUGAGCGCCCCAGCUUGCACAGGGUCCACACGUGGCAGCUCGUGGGUGUCAUAGAGCUGAUCCCCUUCCCCAAAGGACCCUACAGCGUGGAUGAACUCUUCUGUUGACUCUGCUUUGGAGUUUUCCUAAGAAUUUAGUGACCCUCCCUUGGCACAGAGAAUGACCUCAGAUUCCAGGAGGGGGUCCUGACCCGGAGGAAAGACUCCCAAUGACUUUGCUGCUCCAGGCAAGAGCCCUGACCUCAGACAGGUCUGCGUGGGGAGCAUCAGGAGGCGGGCCACCCCGUGCAAGGCGCUGGCGGGGAACUCAGAGCACACAGAGCCGAGAGGGACCAAGGUGGGCACGUGGCAGGGGUUCUGGGCUGACGGUGCCACUGUCCCGGGGCACCCCCCACCCCUCCCCCAGCCAAGAUGGGCACCUAUCGUGGUGUUUCCAGGGGCCACUUCCUACCCCACUGGUUCCGGUGGUGCUGGACAGGACCCCCGAGGCCUGGCCCCUCGCUGUGGCCAGAGGGGUGAACCAGGUAGCCUGGGUCCGUGAAGGGAGGCCUCCCCAGAGCCCAAGCUCCAGCGCAGGCUGCCCGUGGGCCUGAACACAAGGCCGUUUGGAUUCCAGGGAGCGUGUCUCCGUGACCCACAUGUGCAGGCCACGCAGGGCUGCUACCCUGAGGGGACGUACCCCAGCCCCAUCCUGCCACUUGCUUACCCGAAAGCUGCCUGGUGAGAUCCAAAUUCACUUCUCUUCUUUGUGUGUGUUUUCUCUGGAGCCCGACCCAUGGGCUUUUCUGCAUUCUCUUUGAGAUAAAAAUCAAAAACAAAUCUUUAAAGGCCAUCUCCAAAAACCACAGAAUGGCUGGAAUUAAAUAAACAUAAAGCUUGUGGUUUUCCUCUCAGGAACUUCCUGCCUAACUGAAAUGCACUGAAUCAGCAGCACCUCAGAGCCCAGGCGGAGGCUCCCAGGACCCCGGGCUCAGCCUUGGGGCAGGGGCCACACCCAAAGGGGACCACGUCCCACCCUAGUGAGCCCCGGCCAGCCCUGCUGGCCUAGUGCAGCACAGACGUGGGAGUAGCUUCCGUUCGAGAGGAACUUCCCUGAGGCCUGCGCACCAUCACCACAGUGUGAGCCGAUCAGGGUCCCCCAAAUAUUCAUGUGCACAGAGGAGAGGCUCCGGGCAAAGACAGCUCGGGUGGCGGAGAAGGGCCCACGGACACAGGGCACAGGAAGCACCAGAGUGUUGGGGGCAGAGGCCUGAGUUGGGGCGGCAGGCUGCAGGCUUGAGAUUCGAACGGGCUUGGGCAUGACCGCCCGCUGCUGCCCAGUCCCUGGCCCUGGUGAUCUAGGACACGGGGAACGCCCUCGCUGUGUGGGAGGUGGACAAGGGGCGGUGGGGCCAUGGACGCAGGGCUGUCCAGUUCCCCAGGAGGCUCCAAACUUCAGCCUCCUCCCACCCGAGAACCUCCCACGUCAGAAAGGAGGCCACUGAGCUGCUGUCACUCGGGGCACGACCAACACGACGUGUGCGCUUUUCUCCUGACAUCAGCCGAGUCUGCCGCUCUCCGGACACCAGCCGGGGGUCCUGCGACUGAACUCAAUCCCGAUACCAACCGCCAACGUCAGUGCAGACCCCCCGGGCUGAGGGGCCCCUCGAGACUCCCCCAUGUCAGGCCUCUUUCGAGGAACAUCCGCAGCUGUCUUGAAAGCCGAGGUCCGGGAACUACUUUUUUGAUCCUCGGGCGCAGAGCGGAGGCUCUAACGCAGCCUGUGCGCAGACGCGUGGCUCUGCUCUCGGCCUCCCUGCAGGCGGCUGGUGGAAAGCAGGGCCAGGCGGGGACAGACGCCCGCAUCUCCCGGAGGGGCCCCAGGAGGAGACGCAGGGAACCACGAAGACCCAACCCGCCCCACAGACCGAUCCGCGGAGCCGCCCCGCGACCCCCCCCCCCCCCCCCGCACACCAGGACCUGUGCCGCAGUGUCCACAGCAGGGCAGAGUCCGCCCACAGAGGAGGGUGGGCAACACGGGGCCCAUCCACAGGAUGGAAUACCACCCUGCCUCAGACAGGAAGGGGAUUCUGACGCACGCUCCAACACGGACGCACCCGGAGGACGUCGCGCCCGCGGAAAGCCGCCACCACAGGAACCUGCUGUGGUUCCCCUUCUGGGAGGUCCCUGGAGGGGUCCAAGUCACAGACGCGGGGAGUAGACAGUGGGCACCGGAGCCAGUGCCAACUGACCUGGGGUUUGAUUUGGGGACAGCAAAAUGUCCUGGGCCCCGAGAGAGGCGAUGUCACACGACCUCGUGAAUGCCCUAAACGCCACCGAGUUGCUCCCCUCAACAUGGUUAUUCUGUGCCAGGUGAACGUGGCCUCGGUAAAGGAGCCCGAGGCCGCCCUGCGAGGCCCGGCGGCCCGUCCCCCAGCAGACAGGGCCCCGGGCGAGCAGCGGGCAGCGUGCCGCACCCGCCCUCCCUCCCCGGAUUCAGCCAGGCAACCCCGCUUCCUCACGCCCACCGCCGCGCACUGCCCCGCGGUCUCCCGCCUUUGCCGGGGCCCCCCACGGCGCAGCCACUCGACGCCCAACGUAACAGACAAAGAAGCCAAGAGGGUGGGCCGGGAGCACCAGCCUCCACCGGCGGAAAGACCGGCCAAAGGGCCCGAGUCCCCCACGCGCCCCGCCCCAACGCUCAUCCAGGGGUCUGAGAAGGGAACUCUGGCCCCACUUUAUGACCCUACAGGAACGGAGGCAGGUGUCAGACUCGGCCCCACGUCGCAGCAGCACAACAGCAAAAGGCAGAGGCAACCCGCAGGUCCAUCCCCAGACGGACAAAUAAAGCACCCCAUCCACACGCGGAACGUCGCGGGAAAGAGGCACGGACAUAUCCCGCAACACCAACCUCGCAUACGGGCCACUCAGCGUGGAAAGCCAGGCAACAGGCCGCACGGCGUGACUCCACUGACGGGACACGUCUGGAGCAGGCAAGCCCGCGGACACCGAGAGCACAGUGGGUGGGGAGUGACCACUACCGGGUAUAGAGUUUCUUUUGGGGGCAGGUGAUGGGAAUGUUCCGGAACGAGACAGAGCUGGUGGGUGCACAACACUGUGGAUGUGCUAAAUGCCGCUGCAUUGUUGAGUACUAAGUGGUUAAUUUUAUGUGCGUUUCACCUCGUUUUUUAAAACAGAAGAAACCGUGAAAAAAUCAAUUAAUUUAGAAUCACAGACCGGUGGUGGCAGAGAAAGUUGGAGCGGAGCGAGGCCGGUGUGUCUGACAUCCUUCCCGCCGUCACGGCCCGAGGUUCCCACACUCGUUGCACGCCCUGCAGGACAGCGUCCUUAGGACAUGUGACUGAUGCACUCGGGACAGGGGAUGGCCCGUUCCCUGUUGUGACCUCAGGCCUGUUACUUCCCCACCCCUCCAGGAGCCUCGAGGCCCCCACUGCCCAGCGUCGGCCGGAAUCCAGCUGCGUCCUGAGCAGGACUCACGUGCAUGUGUGCACGUGCUCGUGUGCACUCACGCACCAUGCACCGUGUCGCAUCCACAUCUGCGUGCACAGACACAUGCCCAUGUUUGCGUGUGAUGGCGUGUGCUCAUUUGCGUGCGUGUCCGUGCACGUGUGUUCUGAGAAGGCGGCUGUGGCACAGCUCCAUCCAAAGAAAUACCAUAUGAGCCACAGACUCAACUUUUUUUUUUUAAGAUUUUAUUAAAUAAUCUCUAGGGGCGCCUGGAUGGCUCAGUAGGUUAGGUGUCCG